RNAcentral lists this ribosomal RNA (492 nucleotides) under uncultured bacterium. RNAcentral describes it as "partial 16S ribosomal RNA". It matches the Rfam family "Bacterial small subunit ribosomal RNA", at positions 29 to 507 of the family's 1533-position model. The record is from RNAcentral.
AGUGAACGCUGGCGGUAGGCCUAACACAUGCAAGUCGAACGGCAGCACAGUAAGAGCUUGCUCUUACGGGUGGCGAGUGGCGGACGGGUGAGGAAUACAUCGGAAUCUACUUUUUCGUGGGGGAUAACGUAGGGAAACUUACGCUAAUACCGCAUACGACCUACGGGUGAAAGCAGGGGAUCUUCGGACCUUGCGCGAUUGAAUGAGCCGAUGUAGGAUUAGCUAGUUGGCGGGGUAAAGGCCCACCAAGUCGACGAUCCGUAGCUGGUCUGAGAGGAUGAUCAGCCACACUGGAACUGAGACACGGUCCAGACUCCUACGGGAGGCAGCAGUGGGGAAUAUUGGACAAUGGGCGCAAGCCUGAUCCAGCCAUACCGCGUGGGUGGAGAAGGCCUUCGGGUUGUAAAGCCCUUUUGUUGGGAAAGAAAAGCAGCAGGUUAAUACCCCGCUGUUCUGACGGUACCCAAAGAAUAAGCACCGGCUAACUUCGUG